Long non-coding RNA from Mytilus trossulus (common blue mussel), 1210 nucleotides. RefSeq lists it as uncharacterized. The transcript has 3 exons. Lineage: Eukaryota; Metazoa; Mollusca; Bivalvia; Mytilida; Mytilidae. The record is from RefSeq and is a predicted model, not a curated record.
UAGCACUCCACAAUUAGAAAAUAAAAUUAAAAAUGAGCCCCAAAAUGUUUUAUCAUCUUCUUUUCCUGGAUUUCUAAUACAUUAACCUAACUGUUUGUGUUGUACAUGUGCAUAUGUAUGUAAUCAGUAUCUUCCAUAGAUUCAAUUUUUCAAAGUUAAAAGGGUGAAAAUUAAUUCCUUGUAUGUGUAUCCAUGGCAACAUUCAGCAUUUAUUUACCAUAAAAUAUUGCAAAAAGGGGGGUGAACAUGUCAUAUAUCCCCCCAAAAUUUGGAUCAAACUAGAAUUUCAAUGCCUUUGAGUGAUACCUUUUUAGAAACUGUUUUCUUAAAUCUUCCUAAUUAUCAAAUAAAAAAUGGGUGUCUUUCGCCUCAUUUUUUCGUAAAAUCAAAUCACAAAGUUCGUGCGAUAAAAAGUUGGAAAAAAACAUUAUAAUAAUUGCCGGACCAAUGUAUGGUAUGGACAUGCAAAUACGGACUGUCAUACAGAAAACAGCCUAUAUUACAUACAUUACAUAACCUUGAUGUUCAUAUAAACCCAAUACAAAGGCUAUUUUAAUACUCAGCUAUCCAAAAAUGAAUUUUAUUGCACACUAGCUCUCAUAUUUAAAAAAUCCACAGGGGCCAAAAUGCAAAACUACACACCUAACUGUGGAGUGCUACCUUAAGUGCAGUAUUGCAAAGCAUGUAUGGAACGGAUAUGAACUCUGCGCCGGAGAUUGCAUCAACAGAACAAAUAGGGAAAUAUUUCACGCUAUUGAUGGUGACCGAACACGCUAACAGUUCUGAUUACGAAGUGAAUAAACAUUGGUACAUUAAUUGGAUGGUAACUUACAUACAAGAUAGAGAGGUAUCGGGUGGAGUAAAGCUGAAGGAAUAUGAAGGGCCACUUCAACUUAAGAAUACUUACGUUGAUCUCAGUCCUCAGAACGCUUCAGUGUACUUUCUGUUGUACAACCAUCAAGAUCCUUUAGACACAUUGUCGUUUGGGGAAAAUACCUACCCUGAACACUAAUGGGAGUUAAUGGACAAAAGAUCCUUUCAGGAAUUUAAAGUUGCAUCAACAUCAAUAACGAUUGAAGAAGAUGAAUAUGCUAGAUUCAAAUUGGGUCAACACCCAGCAAAUUCAGAAUCAAGUGUGUGUGAAGACAUCGAAGGCUAUCCAGAAAACUGCAAAGAAAAAUCAACGCUAAUCACAAUACUCAGGAAAUAG